Molecule: RNA transcript, 2119 nt
Organism: Cyprinodon variegatus (sheepshead minnow)
Lineage: Eukaryota; Metazoa; Chordata; Actinopteri; Cyprinodontiformes; Cyprinodontidae
Gene: cmc4
Gene name: C-x(9)-C motif containing 4
Exons: 3
Source: RefSeq, a predicted model, not a curated record
AUGUUAUUACCACAGGUGGGAGUCACGUUGGGUCUAUUUAAACACAAUCUUACUUAAAUACAACAAAACAACAUUUUCGAAAAAACGUAUUUCCGUUUUAUUUUCAGAAAUGCCGCAGAAAGACCCUUGUCAAAAGCAAGCGUGCGCCAUCCAGAAGUGUCUACAAGCUAAUAAGUACCUGGAGAGUCUGUGCGAGGAGGUGAUCCGAGACAUGCGGAGGUGUUGUGAAGUUCAUGCUGGAAACUCGGUCUGCUGCUCCGGUUUUAAGGAGCCCCAACCGGCGGAGAACAAGAGCGAAACAUGACUAUGAGCCAUUCUCCUUGAUGUGGAGUUAGAAACCUGCACUCCAUCAAUCUAUAGGUUCUCAUUUUCAAGAGGUCAGGAUCUCAAAACAAUAUUUGCCAUCCUUUGUCCAGCCUAACCCUGGUACUAUCACAGGGCGUUUAUAAUAUCCUUUAUCAUUAUUGUGAUACAUUUUUAAUUGUGAUAAAAUAAUUUAUUUUCUAUCGUUUUAAUUUAAAUGUUUAUUUUUCUGGUGGAGUGUUUUUUUUCCCCUGUGCUAUUGCUGAUUAUUUUUCAGUGAUUGGUACAGUGUUAGUCUGGGUUAAUUUUUAAAGAGAUCCCUCUAGUAGGUGAUUUAAAUUAACACUGGCUCAGAUCAAUUCAGUUCAGUUUAUUUAUAUUGUGCCAUUUCCCAACACAUGUCAUCUCAAAGCACUUUACAGAGAAACCUCAACCAGACGAUACAGUCAGACUGAUUCAAAGUUUUCUAAGGAAAACCAGCUGAUUGCUUUGAUUAAAACGUCAUCCCUCAUACCGUCAGCAUCAGAUGAUCUGACGACCAUGUUUUGCUUUUAGAGUUUCUCAAGUUAUUGGAAGUCAUAUUUGUACUUGUUUUAAAUAUCCAAGCCAAUCAUCUCCAACAUGCCACAUAAAUACUCCACAGCAGUUGUUUUUGAAAAAGAUCUAAGUGAACAUUGCAUAGUUGGUGCAAUUAGAGACAAUAAAAUCACUUGUUUAAACCCGUUCUUAUAUGAAAAAGAACGAUGAAGCACUCUAUUGAGCAGUCCGUCCUUCAUGACUCAUUAAGGUAUAACUGAAUUCACAAAUUUCUGUUUGAUGACCUUAACCUUGCCUGGGUCACUCUUUUUCUUCUUUUUUUUCCUAAACAGUUAUGAUUUUAUUGACAAAUGUGCUUUAUUUUCUGUGAGCUGAGAGUGAAGGGUUGGUCCUUGGUUCAUAACUAAAUUAGGUUUUGCAAAGUGGGGAAUCAGCUUUGGGCAACUUCGAGGACAUCUGUUUUUGAAGCUGAUUGGCUGCAUUUCCAUCAAUUAUGAAAUAAAUUUACUGUCAUUAAAAAAGCAAACAGGAUUAUAAUUUGGCUCAAACUCCAAAAUGUUUAAAUAACCCAAGGACAUUUUGGCUAACUGUUACGACCCUCCCAGGCAACCAUCAUUAAUCCAAUUCUCCACAUCCAUUAGCUAUGGACUGCACUGAGGUAUCAGAUAAAUGUCUCUGGAGUCUUAUUUGAUGCCAUGUCUGAUAGUCAGCCUCUCACUUCUUCCACUAAUUCCCAGCUAAACAGAAAAACAUCUCGUUUUGAAUAUAUCUGGUCAGGGAGGUUUCAAAGGAAGUGGAGGUUUUCAAUCCUCAUAACCUAAGAAUGUGUUUUUAAAAUGGUAGUUUUUUUGUUUUUGAAAGUGAGAAAACCUGCUGUAAGCUUUAAUCUUAAAUAUAAAAAGGAAUAAUAACUAUGUAAAUUUUGAGUUCAUAGUUUUGAACCAAAAUCAGUUGAAUGUCUUAUGUUUUAAUGGCAUAAUUUAUGGACAUGUAUAUAAAAAAUGUAUAUAUGUAACAGGAAGAAUCACAGUGAAUGUAAAGAAAACGGUCUGAGAAAAAAGUCCUGUAUGCGAGUUUUGGUUUACUUUUGCCACAUGUAUCACCGCUUUAACAAAUAUCAGUUCAACUUACAUGAUCCUCAUCUCUUUUAAAUGGAAAUAAUCAUAUAGAAAAAGAUAUAAUCUGUCUAAUGACAAUAAUUGUGUAUUUCUGUAAUAAUAAUCGUUCAGUCUACCUGUUUAGCUGCCAAAUGCAAAUUUUGAUGUCAUUGCAACUAAAG